AAUGGAUAAGGUUUUUCUACUAACAUAUAGGAAUUUUUGAAGGAAGGAAAGCCAGAAAUACCCAAUAUCUUGUUCUAACAGGAUAUUGGGUAUUUCUUUGUUUAUUCUGAAUCUUUCUAUUCUGAAUUCAGUUAACGACGAGAUUUAGUAUCCUUUCUUGCACUUUCAUAACUCGUGAAAUGCCGAGUAGGCCGAAUUCCCCCAAUUUGCGACCUACCAUAGGAUUUGUUAUGUAAAUAGGUAUAUGUUCCUUUCCAUUAUGAAUCGCGAUUGUAUGGCCAACCAUUGCGGGUAGAAUGCUAGAUGCCCGGGACCACGUUACUAUUAUUUCUUUCUCCUCCUUCAUAUUGACCUUUUCGAUUUUUGCCAAUAAAUGACGAGCUACAAAAGGAUUCGUUUUUUUUCGUGUCAMAGCUGAUUACYMCCUUUUUUUCAAUUUMAAGAGUSGCAUCCKAUGUCCACUAUCUSKGUCGAG
This 475-nucleotide unclassified non-coding RNA is filed under the name Oplismenus undulatifolius var. mollis. RNAcentral describes it as "partial miscellaneous RNA". The record is from RNAcentral. Lineage: Eukaryota; Viridiplantae; Streptophyta; Magnoliopsida; Poales; Poaceae.